CUUUUAUCCGUGAGGUAGAACAGUUUAAAGGCAUCAAUGCAUGUACGUAACACUAUGAAUUGCAGGUUUUAUGUGUGUUAGUUUGAAACCACAGAUUUUUAUUGUAAAGUAUUUCAUGUUUUUCACUUGUUCUGUACCCAACAUGGAAAAGAUAUGUGAAAUGCCAUCUCACCUCAUUGACCACAGCUACAGCAGAAGAGAACUCACCAUGAGUGGGAGCAGCACAAACGUGACAAAGAGGCUCACGGGAGCAUCAACAGAAAGAGCGCUUUCAUGGUGCUGCUGUCCAGUCAGACAAGAGCCCCAGUCACCAGCAUGUCACAUCUCAUCAGGAGAAUGUUCUUUCAUAGAAUGUCUUCAUUUGUCCACACCACUGAUCUGGCCUCUGUAGACUAUAGCGCAGCCAUUUGCAUUUCUGCAGGGAUCAAAAACAUCUACCGAUAGACUGUUGAAAUGAAAUGUGGAGCUGUGAAUGUCUUGUAUGAACCUUACACACAUCGGACCAGCCAGAAUGGGAUCAAUUUCUUGUUAGCUAAAUGUCUUUUUAUCUCAUUUCUUUUCAGAUGCAAUGAGAUAUCAU
This is a long non-coding RNA of Cynoglossus semilaevis (tongue sole), 580 nucleotides long. RefSeq lists it as uncharacterized. The transcript is spliced from 4 exons. Lineage: Eukaryota; Metazoa; Chordata; Actinopteri; Pleuronectiformes; Cynoglossidae. The record is from RefSeq and is a predicted model, not a curated record.